Lagopus leucura (white-tailed ptarmigan) is the source of this 1826-nucleotide long non-coding RNA. RefSeq lists it as uncharacterized. The record is from RefSeq and is a predicted model, not a curated record. The transcript has 3 exons. NCBI's taxonomy places the organism in Eukaryota, Metazoa, Chordata, Aves, Galliformes, Phasianidae.
UCACCCGGGGCUGCCUUCGCAGCACCUCUUCCAUCGGGUGUGCGUUGUUCGGCGAUGGCGGUGCGGGAGCAGCCAGGGGGCUCGGCACGGGCAGCUGAGGGGAUGCUGCCUGGUGCCCACGUGAGUUGUUGAGGAGCCCAGGUUCAGCAUCUUUGUUGUUGCUGAGCUCCCGGCUGGCCGUGGGGGAGUGAGGCAGCUCUGUGAUGGAAGAGGAGUUGAGGCUGCUGGAGGCACGUGGGCUCGGUGGUUCUGUGGCAGUGGUGCGCUGCGUCAGCCCCUCCCUUCUGCAGCUGUGCAGAGCACUUGCAGCUUCUGGAAUAGCAGAACAUGCCCCGCCACGAUGAUGGCAGCCUUCCCACCCCCGCUUGGUGCAGACACCCACUGGUCAUCUGUGCAGACCGCAAACUCACCAUCCAUCCCGGCGAGCAAAGGGUCAAUUUCGGCAUCGCCGUCCAGAGUGCUGGUGCUGGGUCUGUCUUCUGGGCAAUGGAAGAAAUGCCCAGUGGGGCAAUGCCAGCUUUCCCGCAGGCGCUCAGCGCAGACAGCCCCCAUCAGCUGUGCUGCUCCCAAACGCACCGCUGUUGAUCCAGGUGAGCAGCUCGUCCAUGUCUGCGGUGUCGUGCAGGAUGCCUGGGUUGGCUGUCAGUUCUGGGGAAGGAAGAAAAUGCCCAGAGGGGCACUGCCAGCUUUCCUGUGCCCGCUCGGUGCGGGCACCCCCCGCCAGCUCUGCUGCCCCCAGCCUCACCCUUGUUGAUCCACGUCAGGAGCUCAGCGAUGUCCUCAGCGAUGUCCUCUGGGGUGUCUGCGCUCGUUGUCACUGCUGGCCAAGCAAGAGCAUCCCCAGUGGGGCAAUGCCAGCUUUCCCACAGCCCCGUGGAGUAGACAGCCUGCUGCCCGCCCUGCAGCCCCUGAACUCACGGCCUGAUUGUAGCGAGGCAGCGCUGCAGGAGAGCAGAACGCAGGGAGCGUCUGUGGUGAGAUGCUGAGGUGAAAUUGCCUUCCCUGCACCAGCAGCCUGUGUGUGUCCACGUGAUGCAUGGAGAAGAGAAGCCUGAAGUUCUUGACCACGGCCAUCCCCUGAAGCUCCAGUCAUGAAGACCCUGCACAUCAUGUCUGAUGGCCGUCUGUCUGCGCUGCCCUUGGCUGUGAUGGGUGCAGCUACCUCAUGUCCCCUCAAACUGCCAGGCAUCCAAGCUUCUCCUCCUCCACCAGCUCUCCACUGACUCCCACACCUUUGCCACCUCCCAUGUCGUGUAGUGGAAAUGCAUGGUGCUGGGGCGGGCCCAAACUCCCACCCUGACAGCAGGCACGUUUCCAAAAACUCUGCUCACUUGCUCAUCCUGCUGGCUCGUGAGAAGGUCCUGUUGUCAGCUCUGCCGACCGGCACAGCAGAGGUGGGAUUGUUAGAGCAGCCUGGAAAACAGCAGGGGAAAAACCAUUUCCCCCUUUGGCUGUUAUUUGUUGAGAAAUGCUGUGUGGUGAGUGUUGAGUCAGGGCCUGAACCACCAGCCCAGAUGGAGCAUCUGGGGAAAGGACCCAGUCAGCCCUGGGAGCGCAGGUGAGGGCAGUUCAGCUGUAUGAUGGAAUGAGGGGAGCCUGGCUGCACCUCUGUUAGACCUCACUGAAGGGCUGACCCUGCACUGGGCAAGGAUCUGUGGUUGGAGAUCCCUCCCUUGUGGAGUUUUCCCUGUGAGCCUGGAUCUUCAGGGACAGGUGAGCACUUUCCCUUUUCUUUGUAACACCCUUCUGUUGUGCUAGUCCCUUUGUGGUUACACCUCCUCCCUCUGCACUGAUCAUUCUGAUUGUUACUGAUGUCCUCUGCCCCU